AUUGAACGCUGGCGGCAUGCCUUACACAUGCAAGUCGAACGGUAACGGGCCUUCGGGUGCCGACGAGUGGCGAACGGGUGAGUAAUGUAUCGGAACGUACCUUUCAGUGGGGGAUAACGUAGCGAAAGUUACGCUAAUACCGCAUAUUCUGUGAGCAGGAAAGCAGGGGAUCGCAAGACCUUGCGCUGAUUGAGCGGCCGAUAUCAGAUUAGCUAGUUGGUGAGGUAAAGGCUCACCAAGGCGACGAUCUGUAGCGGGUCUGAGAGGAUGAUCCGCCACACUGGAACUGAGACACGGUCCAGACUCCUACGGGAGGCAGCAGUGGGGAAUUUUGGACAAUGGGGGCAACCCUGAUCCAGCCAUGCCGCGUGAGUGAAGAAGGCCUUCGGGUUGUAAAGCUACUUUCGGCCGGGAAGAAAUCGUAUGGGUUAAUACCCUGUGCGGAGUGACGGUACCGGACAUAAGAAGACACCGGCUAACUACGUGCCAGCAGCCGCGGU
Molecule: ribosomal RNA, 500 nt
Filed under: uncultured bacterium
Lineage: Bacteria
Description: bacterial SSU rRNA
Rfam family: Bacterial small subunit ribosomal RNA
Source: RNAcentral